Lagopus muta (rock ptarmigan) is the source of this 4989-nucleotide long non-coding RNA. RefSeq lists it as uncharacterized. The transcript has 3 exons. The record is from RefSeq and is a predicted model, not a curated record. NCBI's taxonomy places the organism in Eukaryota, Metazoa, Chordata, Aves, Galliformes, Phasianidae.
AUGAUCUUUUUUCCCUGGUUUUCAUAUGAGCCCUUCACUAAGCGGCAGGUUUUGAAUGGUAUUCUGCAUAUGGUAAAACCAUAUUCCUGUGCUGCUUAAUUAUAUGCUUUCAAUUUAUUUUCUCUGACUCUGCAGGCAAGUGCAUUACUGUGUGUUGUUACAUAAUACCCAGCCAUGUGGAAAAGGAACAGACACACCUUUGGCAAGUGACUGCAGAAGUCUCCAAAGGUUUUCACCCAUGUUUUCACAGAUGUCCUCUUAGAACCCAUCUAAUCCUCCACAUCAAGGUUUUAUAGAUUAUUUGCACUCACUGGGGCUGGUGCAGUAUGAAGCCAAGCAUGCAAAGACUGCCAGCUGGCCAGAAUAUUUGAUAAAUGUGAGAACAAAAAAAAUCCCACUCAUAGCAGCGAAAUGAUCUAUUCCUGGAACACCAGCUGGAUUGCUGUAAUAAGCUAUUAAACCAGUGUGGUAAAAUGAAACCCAGAUACACUAUGCAGAUUAUAUAGCAAGUCUAUUUCCUUGUAUAGCUUGGUUUCAUUGCUUUAAUUUUAGAUUAUUGGUCACUUGCAAUGAUUAAAAGAUAUGGAAAAACUUGGCCUUUUUAUUCAUGAGUUUUGAACUAGAAAGCCCCAAAUUAAAACUAUAUAGGAUUGUGCGCCUGGCACCUUUAACUAUCUGCUUCCAUUUCCAAUGACUCAGUGUGGCAGACUCUCUGGCAGACUUAUUUUACUAAGAAACUGUAUCUCAGACCUGGAAAUGAGAUAAGUACUUAUAAAAAACAUUCUCAGAAAAACAAAAUCUCAAAUGCACUCCAAUGUAACACAAUAUUUCUUCUUACAUUAAAGAAUAAUUUAAAUAUCUAAAAGGGGAUGAAGAUUGAUAUCGAUGGCCAUGUGUAAUAGCACCAUCUUGUGAUCCUUGCCAAAAAAAAUAUUUUAUAUUUUAAUUGAAAACUCCACUCUCUACUAACUCAGGCAUUCUUAUUUUUCUGAGUUCAUAAUUAGCUUGGAUGUGAUAUAUGACAAUAAACUAAAAAUUCAACUAUAAACAUGACCCUAAUGGAAAUUAGUUGAAUGCCACAUUAAAGAACGAGCUAGGUUGAGAUAUGUGGGUUUUGUUUACAUUAUUUUACUUACUGGUUAAAAAAGGAGAAGUAGAACACCAAAGAUAGUUCUUCUAUCAUAAAAGAAUAAACAAGACAAGUAAACAAGCUUUUCUUGUUAGAUGUACUAUUUCUUCUCAUCAAAUCAUAUUGCAAAGGAUGCCUAAGAAGAGUAUCGCCAUCAGUAAAAGUAUCCUGAUUAAAUGUCUCAAUAGUUCUGUCUUUCAGUUACACACAACCAGGACUUUGGGCUGUUGAUAUUUUGGUACUGUGAAGACUCAGACUAUAGCACUGCUGAUCUGAGGAUCACCAUCCGGACUGAUGCUUAUUAUGUCUAUACGAACUCCAGAUGAAAUGGGGUGAAACAAAUAUCUGAUGGUAAUAACAGAAAGCAACCACAUCACAUUUCCAAAUAAGAAAGGAAUGGUGCAUGAAGGGGUAGUUGUACAUAUGUUUAUAUGUUAUGUCCAAGCUAUUCAGAUAUACAUACUGACCUAUCUCAGAUGAUGCAGUCUUCAGUAAUUUUAAGUGAUAGUUACAGGCAAAGUGGCGUCACCAACAGGAAAAGCAAGCAGGAUACAGAUAAUUUCCUUACUACACCUGGUUAUCUUCCUGAGUAUGGGUAUGGAAAGUGGCAAGCAGAACGCUUCUUUGAUUCUGGGUUAUCGAUCUGGUGCAUUUGCUUUGUAAGACUGUCAGCCUUUAACGGUGUCAAAGUUAGUAUUUCAUACAUAAGCCUUAUUUUGGCAUCUGAAGCAGUUGAAUUCAGUGGAUUUGCGAAUGCUAAAUAUUUGGUAAAAGCCAGCUGGUAAAAGCUGCAGGAAGAUCACUCCAGCCUUCAUCUCUGAUGAAGAUUUUGGUGAGAUUAAUUAGAAAUGAGGAAGGCUGAAUUUUGAGUGAAAGUUCUCUGUUUGACAUUUCAAAUACAGAAGAUACUCAGACAAAUACCAUGAGGGAUUUAUUUAUUGUGUACUUUGUUUCCACCAAUAACUGAUAGGUCACACCUUUACUAACAGACACAGAAACAGACCAUUAUUUUCAGUGGGGACAGACAGUUCCUCUGGGUUACUGACCAGCUACAGAGUCCAUGUCGUAAGCCUUUCUAAGCCUUCUCAAUUGCAUUGGCAAGGAAGGAAUUUACUUUUUGUUAAAAAAAUGCUGAUUUGCUAGCUUGGUAAAUUAAAGCCAUUCAUCUGUUACAGCUGCCUAUAACAUAAAUCAAAAGCAUUAUUUAUAUGUAUUAACCUGGGGACCUGACCAGCCGGGGAGAACGCUUUGUAGAGAUGGCAUUUAUCCCUGUAGAAGUCUUCCAUCCAGUCGAAGCAGGCUAUGUUUAGCUCAGGUUAAUAAGAUUUCAAUUUUACCUGAUGCAAAGAGAUUUGGGGAGGGAUGGAGGGAGGUUUGCUGAAGCUACUUCAUUAUGAAUUUCUAAAGAAAGGCAAAUCUGGCCUUUGAGAAAUACAAAAUACUCUAUAUGUUUUUUCUUUGUGUUAAAGAUUUCAAUUAAAUUGCCAGGCACUUUUUUUAUUUCCUCUUUAGGUUGAGAUGAUUGCAGCCACUGGAUAUACCUUCCUGCUCUGGCCUUUGGCACAGACAAUCUGUGUUUGGUUAGUGCUUGCAAAUAAUGGAAUGAGCAUUUACAAAUGUUACAAAUAAGGUUUUGUAACUAACAAAAAAUGAAAAAAGCAGUCUGUUGCAUUACAAAUGUUAAUGUGUACAUUAUAUGGUCAAUGCUCACAUACAUAAGGUAAGUGUUAAAACACAGGAAUCUUCUAUUGUUUGUACAGAUGGUUAGUAUCUCAAGGUGGGCUCUACAAAGGGCACAGACUAUUUAGCAGGGUCUGCUGUGGCAGGACAAGGGGAAAUGGUUUCAAACUGAAUAGUGGGAAAUUUCAUUUGGAUAUAAGGAAGAAGUUUUUUACAGUAAAGGUGGUAAGACACUGGAACAGGCUGACCAGAGAUUUAGAGGAUGCCCCAUCCCUGGAGACACUCAAGGUCAGGCUGUAUGGGGCUCUGAGCAAUCUGCUCUAGCUGUAGGUGUCCCUGUUUGUUGCAGGGGAGUUGGACUUGUGCUUUAAGUGUUCCUUCCAACUCAAAUGGUUCUAUGAUUCUAUGACUCUACGAAGGUAGCGUGGGUCUCAUUCUGCUGCCUGACAUAGUGUUUUUCAUGAUACUCAGUAGAAGUUACUGAUAUAAAUUAAUGUGUUGAAAAACUCAUACUUACAUUUAUUGAUAGCUGAUGUGUUUUUUUGGUAUUUGGCAUCCUUUUAUGGUUCAGGCAUGGCCUGAACUAGCUCAAGUCCUGAAGUGCUGCUGCCACAGGAGCAUGGCUCUGAGCCUGCACUAACAAGCUCUGCUUCCUGGAGACCCGUGAUGUGUCCUGAGCAGAAGACAGUGCUCAGUGGAAAUUACAGCUUGGGCUAAUUCUAAUUUGAUGACCUCUGCACUUUUUUGUGAGGCCCACAGAAAGCCUGUCUGAAGAGUUUGUGAACAUGUUUCAAUGCACAAGUACUUCAGAUUUCCUCAGAGUAGGCAUCUGUACUCAUCAGACUGGCAUCGAUACCUGGCAAUCACUUGUGGUACAUAUGGUGCACCAUUUUACAGCUUCUGGAUUCCCACUGUAGGCAAACUGAAGCCAUCCUUACACUGUAGGGCAAUAAGGAAAGAAAGAAAAUGCUGUCAUCUGAUCACCAACUCUACUAGCAAUAGAAGGUAAUUGCCCACAGAAAGUUACUGUAAACCUAUGUUUGAAUUCUGGACAGGAAUAUGAAGAAAAUUUAAGUCAACAAGAAAAUGCUACACGUCCGUUGAGAUAAAAAUUGGUUAAAAGACAUCCGAGAGUAAACAUUUAAAUUUGCACUUGAUCUGACCUGUUUACUGUUACACUUUCUACUACUAUUUCAGUCAAUUACUGCAAUUAUUCAGUGAAAAACAGAUUCAUUAACUGUGUUCCAUAAAUAAAAUCAAGCUAAGCUUAUUUUCUAAUCACUGAUCAUUGUUUUUAAACUUGCAGGGUGGAGAUGAAUACAUUAAAUAUCAGUGCUCUGUGUUUAUCAAGCUAUACUUAUCACUUUUCAUUUAAGCCUAGUGUCACAUUAUGAAAUUAAAUCACUCUCUAUCACAAGCCUAUAAAAGAACUAAAAAUUGGAAAUAUGCAAAACAGUUCAGCAGGAUGGAGACAGGACAGGAAUAUUUUCUGGUUCGAGCCAGAAAUGAAUAGCUGCUAUAAUACUUAAGUUACACAGCUGCAUGAAGGAUCUUUAAUGGACUGUCCGUGAUCAGAUCUACCCUCAGCUCAGCAGCUGAGAACAGUGAAUCUGUGUCUUAUGUAGCCAUUACUGGCAGUAGCCCAGUUAGAAAAGCAUGGAAUACCUGAUGCUUUAUAUCUGCUAAUAUAAGUACUCGUAUGGAGCAAAGUUAAUGCAAGUUUGUGUUUUCUGACAGCAAUUUUUUGCUUAGUUAUUAGAAUCAGUGGUGAGCAAAAAAAUCAUUCAUUAAGGAAAGUUUUGUAUAAAUAGUUCCUGUAGGAAGUAAAUUAGCUGCCAUGACUAUAAGAAUAUAGACACCUAAGAAACUCUUGCUCUCUGGGAGAACAACAUUCUACUCACUUUUCCAAGUACUGAAAAAAAAUCUUUGCAAAAUCAGUCAGUACUCUGUAAAAGAUAGCUUAGAUGCCUUUCUGUGGCUACAUUCUUUGGACUCAGCCAAAAUUUGAGUUUUUGCAGGCUACUCUGAGCCUGCAAAACUGACCAAAAUGUCAUUGGAGUAGCAUAUUUCUAAAGACAGUUUAGAAUUUCUGCCAUUUCAAAGGAAAAAAACCCUAUUGUCAACAUUUCAGCUGUCAGUAGCCUGUAACUGAUAUCAUGAGCUAAAAGCAGACUUCCUGG